AAGACGGAGCGUCUGCACCUCUAAAGAUUCUCAGAGUCGUGCGCUGACCGUCCAGGCUGAACACCGAGGGGCCCACCUGCUCAGGAUAUGGUGCUUUGAGGUAAUAACGUAUCCGUUUUCAUUUCCAAAAAAGAUGAGCUGUCAUCCGCUGACAGGGCGAGGACUCGACCGAUUCCAGCAAGCACCCAUAAAAACCGAGGGGACACGUGACGCCUCUCCAUCCCCUUCAUACCACAAAAUGGUGAAAAUCAUAAAAGCAGCAAAGAAUGGCAUUUCCAUCAUUUCUAAUACAAAGUAAGCUACCCAAAUAUACAUAUAAAGUUUGAAUAAAUACUAUCAGAUAUAA
Long non-coding RNA from Stegastes partitus (bicolor damselfish), 346 nucleotides. RefSeq lists it as uncharacterized. The record is from RefSeq and is a predicted model, not a curated record. Lineage: Eukaryota; Metazoa; Chordata; Actinopteri; Pomacentridae. The transcript has 2 exons.